AAGCCCAGACCUGAGCCUUUGCUCCUGGUUUGGGUUACAUGGUGGUUGUAUUUCUUAUUCUGCUCUUGGCUUUGAUUUUUGGCUGGGCUUUGGAUUGGGGCUUGGAUAGUCAGUAGUUGUACCUCCUGUUUGUUUGCUAUUUCUUGCUGGACUCCUUGUGUGUGUCAAUAGUGAUUCAUAACUGACCCACAUCUAAUUCUGUUGAUAGGGUGUGUUAUUUGUGCCUUGCUCUUUCUGCUGUGUUCAGGAAGAUGCUUUACUAGCUAGUUGUUCUUGUUUUAAAAAAUGAGUCCAUCUGCCGAGUGGAUUGAGUUUCACAAGCAACAUUCCAGUGUCUUACAAAUGAGCUGCCAUGACACUGAUUCCUGAGCUAUGAGAAAAUGUUUUCUUUGGUUUACAGUUGGAUGCUUUAUUCUAAGAUGUCAUUGUGCCUUGGAGUGACAAUUUACACAUACUGUUCUUGGAGAGGGAUGGGAUGGAGAAUCAGGGAAAAGAAUGUCACCUCCUGCUCUAAAUGAAAUAAAGGAGCCAUUCUCUCUGGGUAAUUGUGGGUUGCUGUUGUCCUCAAAGGCACUGCUCACAGUCGGUCCUUAGUAUUGGCUUCCCCUUCAGCUGGGGUCCUCCUAUCUGAAAAAAAGGCUAAAUAAUCCUCCAAGUUAAAAUUUGCUUUGUAUACAGUCAACAUCUUGAGCCUUCCUGCUUUUUGUGCCACCAGUGUUCAGCCAUGAAUCCUUCUUACUUUGGUGAGGCCUAGGAAGCCAGUCAAGCUUCUGGUUGUGCUUGCCUCUGGAGCUUAGCAAUGGCUGGAGAAGCUGAGCUGGGGAGCAGAAUGGAAAACGUGGUUUUGCUACAGCCUCACCUUCCUGAGAACACUGGAAACAGAAGAGGAAUAUCCUUCAGCAGGUGAAUUGUGGUUUCCUUACCAUCGGCAAGAAGCAGAGAGUGGUAGAAGUUGAAGAGGUUGCUCUUGAAGCUCUGUUGCAAACUGCUGGUGGGUGCUUUAAUGGAAUGACACAAGCAAGCAGCCAUGAGAAGAUGGAGAGGCAGAUAAAACCAGCACCAAGACAUCUUCAGUACUGCAAAGUGAAAUGACAGAAGUGAAUGUGAACUCCUGUCUUGAGGGAGAAAAUCAGUGACCUUCUCUUUUUGUUCCGUUAGUGAUAUUGAUCAUAAUCACAGCAAGCCAGGCAUUCAAACAACCAGUCUGCACUUUGCUGUAUUGCUUCUAAUUCACUGAGAAAUAUUUUUUUUUCAGAUCUCAUUGUGAAGAUUUAAUGGCAGAAGUCUUUAAUUAUAGGAUUACAUACAUACAUAUAAAUACUUACGUAGUCACUAUAGCACAAAUCCAAUGUCAAAAAAAACACGAAAAUCUUCAUUGCUGAUGGAAAGAAAGGAGAACUACUAUUUUGUUGUUGUUGUUUAUAAAAUUCAUUUACUAAAUUCAAAGCUGGUUUAUUUGUAAUGGAACUUAUUCUGAAACUGAUAGGAGGUCACUAUCCCAAACAUACUUUCUGUCAGAGGCCAUUGAAUAUUUUUUAUAACAGACUGUACAUCUCUCAUGACUGUAGGUGUAUGUAAGGAAGGUCAAAAGUUAUUUAGAGCUGGGUGAGAUCUUGUUUGAUGAGCCCUAUAUUGAUUAUAAAUAUAUUGAUUCUAAAUUAAUUUUUUAAGUUGUGUGCACCUACUUUGGAAGGGAACUACCUUGCUGUUUGGGUAGCUGCAAAAAUCAUUCUGAGAUGGUGAAUUACACAUGUUUC
Anas platyrhynchos (mallard) is the source of this 1757-nucleotide long non-coding RNA. RefSeq lists it as uncharacterized. NCBI's taxonomy places the organism in Eukaryota, Metazoa, Chordata, Aves, Anseriformes, Anatidae. The record is from RefSeq and is a predicted model, not a curated record.